AAACGCGAAUAGCAAUUUGUGUGCAUGAACACCGCAUAAUCCGUACAUUUCUCAAGAGGUGUAGACAGAGGUGAAUAGAAUCAAAUAUACAGUGGAAUAAACUAAACUGUCGAUGGGAAAAGCAUGAAAGUUUAAGGUAGCAGCUGUAUCUAAUGAAACUCAUAGCCGAGGAAGCGUUUCUGUCCAAGCUGCAACCUUUGACCCCAACUACGGUAUGAUGCGCCACGUGCAGUAGGAUUCUUCAAGACGAGCCACCAUCGUUGACGAGGAACGUCGUUUGGCUCGAUCGUGAUCGAAGUACGAAGGAUUCGAAAGGUGUCUAGGAAGAAGAAACGCAAGAAGAGCGAUGGAGAAGUGCACCUGACAACGUGGGAGGGGGAAAAAAACGAAACACGAUUCAAGAGAAAACAAAGCUCUAAAUCAAGAAGAAAAUGAAAUAUAACUGCUGACAGGAAGACACAUACACGUGUACCGGAUAGAACGCCGUAAGACGCGGCGAGGGAAGCAAAAAAGAGAAAGAUGAAGAGCAUCGGAUGAAAGAGAAACAAACGAAUCGCGAAUGAAAAUACACGCAAGAGAAAGGAUUAUAAUGAUCAAAGAGAGAAAGUAUCCUGACGAGCAAAAAACUAAGUCGGGGUAAAGAAACAAAAGUGAUGCACGAGGAAUAAAUCAAGAAGAAAGAUUAACAGCGGCGAAGAAAGGAAAA
Molecule: non-coding RNA, 706 nt
Organism: Osmia lignaria (orchard mason bee)
Lineage: Eukaryota; Metazoa; Arthropoda; Insecta; Hymenoptera; Megachilidae
Source: RefSeq, a predicted model, not a curated record